GGACCCGUAGCUCAGUGGUAGAGCGCUCGGUUCACAUCCGAAAGGUCAGAGGUUCGAGUCCUCUCGGGUCCA
RNAcentral lists this transfer RNA (72 nucleotides) under Candidatus Roizmanbacteria bacterium. RNAcentral describes it as "tRNA-Val". It matches the Rfam family "tRNA". From Rfam's summary of the family: Transfer RNA (tRNA) molecules are approximately 80 nucleotides in length. Their secondary structure includes four short double-helical elements and three loops (D, anti-codon, and T loops). The record is from RNAcentral. Lineage: Bacteria; Candidatus Roizmaniibacteriota.